RNAcentral lists this ribosomal RNA (277 nucleotides) under uncultured bacterium. RNAcentral's name for it is "partial 16S ribosomal RNA". It matches the Rfam family "Bacterial small subunit ribosomal RNA", at positions 28 to 313 of the family's 1533-position model. The record is from RNAcentral.
GACGAACGCUAGCGACGUGCCUAAGAAAUGCAAGUCGAACGGGGGGAGCAAUCCCCUAGUGGCGAACGGUCGCGUAACACGUGGGCAACCUGCCUCGAAGCGGGGGACAACAAGGGGAAACUCUUGCUAAUACCGCAUGUGAAUUGCUCCGGCAUCGGAGAGGAUUCAAAGCCGCAAGGCACUUCGAGAUGGGCCCGCGGCCUAUCAGCUAGUUGGUGGGGUAACGGCCUACCAAGGCGACGACGGGUAGCUGGUCUGAGAGGACGAUCAGCCGGAU